Molecule: ribosomal RNA, 433 nt
Filed under: uncultured bacterium
Lineage: Bacteria
Description: partial 16S ribosomal RNA
Rfam family: Bacterial small subunit ribosomal RNA
Source: RNAcentral
AACGAACGCUGGCGGCAUGCCUAACACAUGCAAGUCGAACGAGACCUUCGGGUCUAGUGGCGCACGGGUGCGUAACGCGUGGGAACCUGCCUUUAGGUUCGGAAUAACUCAGAGAAAUUUGAGCUAAUACCGGAUGAUGUCUUCGGACCAAAGAUUUAUCGCCUUUAGAUGGGCCCGCGUUGGAUUAGCUAGUUGGUGGGGUAAAGGCCUACCAAGGCGACGAUCCAUAGCUGGUCUGAGAGGAUGAUCAGCCACACUGGGACUGAGACACGGCCCAGACUCCUACGGGAGGCAGCAGUGGGGAAUAUUGGACAAUGGGCGAAAGCCUGAUCCAGCAAUGCCGCGUGAGUGAUGAAGGCCUUAGGGUUGUAAGGCUCUUUUACCCGAGAUGAUAAUGACAGUAUCGGGAGAAUAAGCUCCGGCUAACUCCGUG